GUCACUCUUCCCCGUCCUAGUUCGGGUUUCCCUAGGAUUAGACUGUGAAACAAGGAUUUGAGCGUCAGUAGUUUAUUUGGGAGAUGUUCCUAGGAAACAUUGAAAUGGUUGUGAGGGGAUGUGAUGCCGGGAGCUGCUACAGCCAUCUCACAGCUGUGAUGGGAAGGUAGAGAGAAUUCAGAGAUGCAGACCCUGAAUUCUGACAUCACACUCUGAUGUUCAAAGAGCCUCUGGACUCCAAAAGCAAAGCCCUACCUCAGGACUUCCUGUUGUAUGAGAAAAAGAAACUCCUCUUUAUUAAACCACUGUUUGUUGGGCUAAAUGCA
This is a long non-coding RNA of Diceros bicornis minor, 326 nucleotides long. RefSeq lists it as uncharacterized. The transcript has 2 exons. NCBI's taxonomy places the organism in Eukaryota, Metazoa, Chordata, Mammalia, Perissodactyla, Rhinocerotidae. The record is from RefSeq and is a predicted model, not a curated record.